CACCGCGGUUAAACGUUUGAGGCUCGAGCUGACAGUUCCCGGCGUAAAGGGUGGUUAAUUUAUUCCUGAAACUAAAGCCGAAGCCCUGCCCAGCAGUGGUAGUGCUCAUGCAGGUCUUAAGCUCAUCUACGAAAGUGGCUUUAUACCCCUGAAUCCACGAAAACUAGGGAA
RNAcentral lists this ribosomal RNA (171 nucleotides) under Apogon cathetogrammus. RNAcentral's name for it is "partial 12S rRNA". RNAcentral also lists the same sequence under 1 other name. Lineage: Eukaryota; Metazoa; Chordata; Actinopteri; Kurtiformes; Apogonidae. The record is from RNAcentral.